AUCCAGACGACAGGUCCCAAAUAGGACGAAAUGCGCAUCCUGGAU
RNAcentral lists this non-coding RNA (45 nucleotides) under Trichobilharzia regenti. Lineage: Eukaryota; Metazoa; Platyhelminthes; Trematoda; Strigeidida; Schistosomatidae. The record is from RNAcentral.